RNAcentral lists this ribosomal RNA (251 nucleotides) under uncultured bacterium. Its description in RNAcentral is "partial 16S ribosomal RNA". It matches the Rfam family "Bacterial small subunit ribosomal RNA", at positions 525 to 775 of the family's 1533-position model. The record is from RNAcentral.
ACGUAGGGGGCGAGCGUUGUCCGGAAUGACUGGGCGUAAAGGGCGUGUAGGCGGCUUUUUAAGUCUGGAGUGAAAGCCCCUUUUUCAAGGAGGGGAGUGCUUUGGAGACUGGAGAGCUUGAGUGCGGAAGAGGUAAGUGGAAUUCCCAGUGUAGCGGUGAAAUGCGUAGAGAUUGGGAGGAACACCAGUGGCGAAGGCGACUUACUGGGCCGUAACUGACGCUGAGGCGCGAAAGCGUGGGGAGCGAACAG